Ailuropoda melanoleuca (giant panda) is the source of this 1288-nucleotide long non-coding RNA. RefSeq lists it as uncharacterized. The transcript is spliced from 4 exons. NCBI's taxonomy places the organism in Eukaryota, Metazoa, Chordata, Mammalia, Carnivora, Ursidae. The record is from RefSeq and is a predicted model, not a curated record.
GGGGUGGGCUCCCAGCCUCUCACUGCAGCUACAGUCAUCUCGCUUCUAUCCUGCACGUGUUGGGGUCCUGCAUAGAACUUUGUAAGACCUAUUCUUUAAAAGUCUGAAGAUCUCUGACCUGCAUGAGCUCUAAAGCUGUGCUCCCCAAUACUUUGGCCGCUGGUUACACAUGGCUACUGAGCACUUGACAGUAUCUACAUGAUGUUCCAUGGCAUUGUUGGAGAAGGUCAUCAAGAGGGCACGUAACUGCCAGUUGACUCAGGAGCUAGACCUGGGCAUUCAGAGGCUCCUCACCCCUCCCAUGUCCUUGGAAUGUGCAUUCUGCCCACUGUUACUCAUCUUUUGGCCACCUAAGAUAAGCCUUAUGAAGAGACAGAAGGAUUAAGGAUCUCAUUAAAGUUUCUGGAGCUAAUAAGUGGCCGAGCUGAAAUUUGAACCUAGGGAAUUUCACAAAAUGAGCCUUGCUUCCUUAACUGCCAAGCUGUACUAUACGAUUCUUAAUUUCCCAUUACACUCUCUCCCUGUGUGAAGGACGGUGGACCAUGAACAAUUUGGGAACAGCUUUCCAGGACAGCCGCUGGUAUUCAAGUCACCUGAAGGAAUGUGAACGGAUUUCAAGGGAGCAGUGUAUUCCCUUUUCACUGACGUGAGCAGGAAAAGAACAUGGAGCAGCGCGUGUGCACAUGGAACAGGUCAAGACUCACUUGACACCUGUGAAGAGGCCAGUAAAAGUAAGAGUUGUCUCAUUUUUGAUGGGAAGCUAAGGUAGCCAAGCCAAAGACCUGGUCUGUGUGAUGUAAAACCGAAUGCUGGGGAGGGAGGGACACAUAACCAGGUGGUUUCAGUUAAUUCUGGAGAAUCUUCACGAACAAGUGGUAGUACAGUUUUCAUUUUGCUCUGUUGCUGUGUGUUGCUGCUCAGCCAUUUGGAGUGGAAUUUUCCACCUGAACCAAUAGAUUAACACAUGUUUAUUCAGCUAAUUCGUUGUGCUUUUUUGUGUCACCUGCUAUUCCUUUCAGCAAACUGUGUAUUUAAAUAAACCUUUGUGUUAGGUACUAUUAAAGACACAAGGGCAAAUAAGAUAAAGCUUCUCUGUGUCACGUGUUUUGCCUAGUGGAGGAAUCAGACACAUGCAUAAAUAAUUCUAACACACAAUGAGAUUUUGGCAAUUUCUGAGAGCUCCUUCUCUGUGUGCUUUGGUGUUGUCUGAAUCUGGGCUAAAGAGUGAGAUGGGAACUCCAUCCUUUUCUGAUUGAAUUUAUUCCUGCCACUCCAUCUUAAAUUCUUU